CCUACGGGAGGCAGCAGUGGGGAAUUUUGGACAAUGGGCGCAAGCCUGAUCCAGCCAUGCCGCGUGUGGGAAGAAGGCCUUCGGGUUGUAAACCACUUUUGUCAGGGAAGAAACGGCCUUUUCUAAUACAGAGGGCUAAUGACGGUACCUGAAGAAUAAGCACCGGCUAACUACGUGCCAGCAGCCGCGGUAAUACGUAGGGUGCAAGCGUUAAUCGGAAUUACUGGGCGUAAAGCGUGCGCAGGCGGCUUUGCAAGACAGAUGUGAAAUCCCCGGGCUCAACCUGGGAACUGCAUUUGUGACUGCAUGGCUAGAGUACGGUAGAGGGGGAUGGAAUUCCGCGUGUAGCAGUGAAAUGCGUAGAUAUGCGGAGGAACACCGAUGGCGAAGGCAAUCCCCUGGACCUGUACUGACGCUCAUGCACGAAAGCGUGGGGAGCAAACAGGAUUAGAUACCCUGGUAGUCCACGCCCUAAACGAUGUCAACUGGUUGUUGGACGGCUUGCUGUUCAGUAACGAAGCUAACGCGUGAAGUUGACCGCCUGGGGAGUACGGCCGCAAGGUUGAAACUUAAAGGAAUUGACGG
This 585-nucleotide ribosomal RNA is filed under the name uncultured bacterium. RNAcentral's name for it is "bacterial SSU rRNA". It matches the Rfam family "Bacterial small subunit ribosomal RNA", at positions 338 to 916 of the family's 1533-position model. The record is from RNAcentral.